Long non-coding RNA from Myzus persicae (green peach aphid), 376 nucleotides. RefSeq lists it as uncharacterized. NCBI's taxonomy places the organism in Eukaryota, Metazoa, Arthropoda, Insecta, Hemiptera, Aphididae. The record is from RefSeq and is a predicted model, not a curated record. The transcript has 3 exons.
CUGAAGAAUACUUCUUGAAUACCAGGCAUCCCACCCAUUUUUGUUUUAAUUAGUGGACGAUAAUGGUGGUGGAGAUUUAAUCCAAUUAACAGUGUUUGCUUAAAAUAUAUUAGCUAAAAUGUCUUGUUCUUCUCAAGUAGUAUCCGCCAUUUCGCCAACAAUUAAUGCUAUGAAAAAAAGCUUCAAUAAUACAUCAAGAGAAUGCACCUUCAGCCCGCCUGACAGUGUUAUUUUGGACACGCUAAGAUUGAAUUUUGAGUAAUUUAUCACACGAGUACAAUUCAUGGCAUUUUCAAAUGGAUAGUAACUAAGGGUACUUAUUGAUGCUCUAAAAGAUCACUAAAUAUGCCUUAAGAAUCGGAACAUUUUCACUACA